UAAAAUCAACUACCAUUCUUCAACCAAUCUUCAACUAUCAACUUCUCUCUCUAACUCUCACUCUCUCUCAACUCUCAAAACUCUAUCAAACUCCCUCUAAAUUCCCAAUUUCGAUCAACAUAACAACAGACACUCUCCAAGGCCAAAACCGGCCAAAAUUAUUGGAAAUCCACAUAGUUUUCCGAUGACUGCCUCCCCACCCCACUCGAACUUCGAACAAACUACAUACCCCUCUUGUUUUCGACCUUCCAAGUCCGUUGGAGGUGUAAUUUUCAUCAUUUAAGAUGUCGUUUCAGCUCUAUCCAAAACCGCUCUUUUCAAGCUUUUCCUGAUCUCCGGUGAGCCUCCUUCCUCCACGACUUUGAUGAAUCGUGCCCACACUCUUUGACGGGCCACCCACUACCCUCACUCUUCCUGUGCAAGGAGAUCACGGUCCAAGAGCCACUCCAUCGGGCAAAACCUCAUCCCAAGCCUCUUCCUCACGCGGGUCUCUCUCUUUUCCUGGUUUUCCUUUUUUUUUUCUCCUCCGGUCAGUGCAGGGUCCAAUGGUCCACACACCACCUCUGACCUCACAGGGGGUUCCUAAGCUGCUGUAAACUACCGUGAGCAGCAGCUACACCCACCUCCCAAUUCCCGUUCACCUGAGGGUCUCUCUUGGCUCCCUCAUAGCCACGGGUGGCAGCAGCCUCUUUAGGGUUACUUCAAGCUUUCAAAUCACCUCAUACACGCCCUGAGGCAUAGGAAACGGUCUAAAUCGGGGUGAGGAGACCAAACUUGACCCAUGAUGGGCCAAGCAGACCUCUCAGCCAUACCCUUGAGGGUGUGGCGGAGAGCCCCUCGGGCACUCACAAGUUGGGUAGUAGCCUCCCCGUCUCAGUCCAACGUUGUUUCUUGGUUUUUACAUUACCUUAUUUUCCAUGUUGAUACCGUUUUAUUGAUUCUCAUUAAAUUUCGUGUUGCAUGCCUCUUUACCAUGGCGGUACCGACUUUAUUCAUGUGAUUGCUCUUUGUCCUGUUUAAUCGAUGAUGCAUGCGAGAAAUGACUUGAAUUGAAGUCGGGAAAAUCACAAGAACCCGAGUCGGGUCAAGGAGUCUCUCGGCAUUACACAUGAGGGCGGGGCCAAGAGCCCCUUGACCCACCUCGGGUCCAAGGUGACCUCUCUUGCCUCGAUUCAACCUCGUUUCUCGGCUCUUGUGUAA
Non-coding RNA from Punica granatum (pomegranate), 1200 nucleotides. The record is from RefSeq and is a predicted model, not a curated record. Lineage: Eukaryota; Viridiplantae; Streptophyta; Magnoliopsida; Myrtales; Lythraceae.